This is a long non-coding RNA of Dromaius novaehollandiae (emu), 2769 nucleotides long. RefSeq lists it as uncharacterized. The record is from RefSeq and is a predicted model, not a curated record. NCBI's taxonomy places the organism in Eukaryota, Metazoa, Chordata, Aves, Casuariiformes, Dromaiidae. The transcript is spliced from 2 exons.
AUUUGCAUCCUGGGAGUUGUAGUUCGCCCGCUCGUCCCCCGUGGGGGACAUUUUGAGAGCUGGGGCCCGCGGCGGAACGCGGCACGGCGGGACUACGGCUCCCAGGGUGCACCGCGGGCGGCGCCGCUGCCCUGCGCCAUUUUGAAGCCUGGGAGGAGAAGGAGGGUGUCGCAGUGGGAGGCGGUUUGGGGGCUGUGGGGUCCGUGCCCUGCGGCCGGACAGCGAUGGCCCCGCCGUCGUGGUGUACGGGACGGGGGUCCCGGCCGUUCCCGAGCCCGGUGGCUAAGGGCCCCGCGGCGAGCCGCCUCUCGGGGCCGCCCAAGGGGCGCCGCCACCUCCUGCGUCCCUGCAACUGCCUGACAAAAACGUCCAGCAGAGCCUUUUUUUCUCAUCAGAAAAGUAGGCGUUUGGCCACAGUGAAAAUGUCAGAGGAAGUGCUCCCUCCCUCCCCCUUUUUAAAAUUUCUAUGUACUUUUUAACCAGAAAACCCCAAGUCACUAGGGGCAUAAAACCAGUGUCCAGCCAAAAAAAGGAAAUGUUUCCAUUUUCUCUCCCAGAAGAACAUAAUGUGUGUGUGCAUGGAAAAGUGGAAUUCUUUCUGGAAAUGUUUUAUUGGUUUUGGCUAAAGAUGCUUCAUUUUUUUCCCCCUCAUUCAGUGCAAAGUUUAAAUUUUCAGUGGAAAUAAACUUCUCAAGUGGCUUUAAUAUUUAGCUCAUUUACAGUAUGUUCAGGGGGAAAAAAGGGGGAGGAAAGUCUAGUCUUUGAGUGUGAUACACCAUCAUAUCAUACAGAAGCUUGCAGGGUUUUCUUUUUUUUCUGUUUUUUUUUUCCUUUUUUUCCCCCUCCACCCCUUUCCCAGGCAGGUGGGUGCCCGCAUGUGCCUUGCAUGAUUGUGGGGGCUUCAUCAUUAAAUGGAAUUAAAUUAAUGCCUGCAAAGGGUCUGAACUGCUAAAGGCCAGGCCUUUAUGUAAUCAGGUCGCCCAUCACUGAAGGAUUAAGAGAAACAUAGGACUUUGGGCCUUGUAGAUAAGCAAAGCUCCUUGUUCACACCAUCAUUUUGCAACGAAAGAUGGAACUGCUGUGUAGUCCCACCACAUUGGAUUUUGGAGACACCUUUCUUUCCACGGUAUCUGAACCCUGUUUCGUCUCGGUUUCUUUGCUUAAAGCAUUCACUGAAGGCAAAUGCCCCUUGAACCUUCACCAAGGUGCAACGCGAGCUGGUGACUGGCAGGGGAUGGACUGCUGCAUCUUCAGCGAGACUGACCCUGCGAGCGUGAGACCUUCAGUCGCACCACAGAGCCAACGUCCUGAUGCCUGCACCGUCACGCUUCCCUCAGCUUGAGCUUGCCCUCAACUGAAACACCCUCCUCUCCUGCAAUGGGAAGAACCACGCCACCACGUCCAGCAAAGGAAACAGUUCAGAGCAGGAAUUUGGGCACAGCCACUGUGUGACAGGCUCUUCAUCACCCACCCUGGGAAGUGGAGCUGGCAGCGAGGGAAGCCAGCAUCCAGCAGGGAAGGUACUGCUCUCCCUUGUACUACAAAGCAACCUCCGCCUUGAACAGCUCUCCGGUGGGGGGACUGGCUCGAUUUUCCCUCUGUGGUAACGCUGUGAGACCUGAUUAGAGCUUAAACAACCUCUUAAGGAAGGGACAUAGCAAUUAUACCUUCCCUGUUGGUCCCAACUGUCCUAGGAGGAAAUCAUUAGGCACAUUGCUACUUUUAAAACAGUCUUGAAUCAGCUUAUGAAAUAGAGCUGGCCAAAGCAAAAAUAACCCCCGAACUUCUAAUUAAAAAGAGAAACCAUUUUGAGAGUUUUUUUUAAACCAGUUAGGGAGGGGAGAGAGAAUUCUGCUGAAGAGGGUCCAACUUGCUAUAGUUUAGAAAAAAAUCAUACUUACAUUUUCUGUGAAAAUUGCUUUUAGACAGAAAAAAGAUGCACAAAAAUAUUCAUAGGAGUCAGAAGUCUACAGUAAUGUCUAUAGCGACUGCUCCUUCAUUUCUAAGCUCUGUAGGCCUCCGAAGAGCAAAGUUUAAAAAAAUCCCCCAAAAGCGCAAGUCGUUGUUGUCAGUGUAAUAUGAGAACAAGCGAGCUGCAAGUUUUCCACCCACCCCUUCCCUUCACAGUGGCUUUAUCCGUGCGGCCUCACAUGCUCCUACACAGCAGGGCUGCUAUUUUCCAAGAAUAACUGGUGUCUUCACUUAACAGCGCCUUAAAGGAGCCUGGUUUGCCGAUUCCCCUCUCAGAUGGAGCACUGCAUACAACUCAUCAGUUUUGAGCACGUCAGGGUUACUAUUCAGACCUGAGGUGCCGACAGAGGGGAUCGCGUUUAGCCGGGGGAGGUUUAAGGACCCAGCUAUGCUUCGAGGCUGACAGCCCAAGGCACUGCUGUUCCCGCACACAGCUCGGAGGCCAAACAUGCACUGUGCUUCGCGAGCUUGUUUCCACUAUCGUUUGUCUCCCUGUUGAACGCCAGCCCGAGUCUGACCGUGACUCACAUCAGGUUAAUCCCAGCUCCAAAGAGGCAGGAAUAAUUGUAUCUCCAUCUGGAGCAACAAUGCAGCACCACAACCCAAAUGUUUUAAGGCAGGAAGCAAAGAACAUCCUAUUCACGGGAAACCACCUUGAGGGUCAUCUAAGGACUGCGUUCCCUAAAGCCUAAAUUUUGCCUGAAUGCAAGAACCAGCGACGCUGUUCUUGUGGAAGACGUGGCAGAAAUCUGUUUGCAUUGGAAAGAGUAACACAUCAUUAAAAAUCCACUAACAAGG